UAGCGGGGGGAUAACUAUUGGAAACGAUAGCUAAUUCCGCAUAAUAUUAAUUAUUGCAUAAUAAUUGAUUGAAAGAUGCAACUGCAUCACUACCAGAUGGACCUGCGUUGUAUUAGCUAGUAGGUGAGGUAACGGCUCACCUAGGCGACGAUACAUAGCCGACCUGAGAGGGUGAUCGGCCACACUGGGACUGAGACACGGCCCAGACUCCUACGGGAGGCAGCAGUAGGGAAUCUUCGACAAUGGACGAAAGUCUGACCGAGCAACGCCGCGUGAGUGAAGAAGGUUUUCGGAUCGUAAAGCUCUGUUGUAAGAGAAGAACGGGUGUGAGAGUGGAAAGUUCACACUGUGACGGUAUCUUACCAGAAAGGGACGGCUAACUACGUGCCAGCAGCCGCGGUAAUACGUAGGUCCCGAGCGUUGUCCGGAUUUAUUGGGCGUAAAGCGAGCGCAGGCGGUUAGAUAAGUCUGAAGUUAAAGGCUGUGGCUUAACCAUAGUACGCUUUGGAAACUGUUUAACUUGAGUGCAGAAGGGGAGAGUGGAAUUCCAUGUGUAGCGGUGAAAUGCGUAGAUAUAUGGAGGAACACCGGUGGCGAAAGCGGCUCUCUGGUCUGUAACUGACGCUGAGGCUCGAAAGCGUGGGGAGCGAACAGG
RNAcentral lists this ribosomal RNA (655 nucleotides) under uncultured Streptococcus sp. RNAcentral's name for it is "bacterial SSU rRNA". It matches the Rfam family "Bacterial small subunit ribosomal RNA", at positions 134 to 776 of the family's 1533-position model. Lineage: Bacteria; Bacillati; Bacillota; Bacilli; Lactobacillales; Streptococcaceae. The record is from RNAcentral.